Acyrthosiphon pisum (pea aphid) is the source of this 80-nucleotide long non-coding RNA. RefSeq lists it as uncharacterized. The record is from RefSeq and is a predicted model, not a curated record. Lineage: Eukaryota; Metazoa; Arthropoda; Insecta; Hemiptera; Aphididae. The transcript is spliced from 2 exons.
AUAAAAUUAACACAAUUCAAAAUAUUCCGUCAGAUGAAAGAUGGAAACAUGCGGAAGCUAGUAUUAAAAUUCAUACAUCU